This is an unclassified non-coding RNA of Cavia porcellus (domestic guinea pig), 56 nucleotides long. The record is from Ensembl. NCBI's taxonomy places the organism in Eukaryota, Metazoa, Chordata, Mammalia, Rodentia, Caviidae.
UAAUCCAAUGGGUCACUUCUGUUUACUAUGGUCUCAAGGAUUGUAGUCCUUGACCC